This 869-nucleotide ribosomal RNA is filed under the name uncultured bacterium. Its description in RNAcentral is "bacterial SSU rRNA". It matches the Rfam family "Bacterial small subunit ribosomal RNA", at positions 28 to 897 of the family's 1533-position model. The record is from RNAcentral.
GAUGAACGCUGGCGGCGUGCCUAAUACAUGCAAGUCGAACGAAGAGAUAGCUUGCUAUCUCUUAGUGGCGAACGGGUGAGUAAUACAUAAACAAUCUGCCCAUACGACUGGGAUAACCGUUGGAAACGAUGGCUAAUACCGGAUAGGUGAGAAGGAGGCAUCUUCUUCUCAUUAAAGUUGGGAUACAGCACGUGUGGAUGAGUUUAUGGCGCAUUAGCUAGUUGGCGGGGUAACGGCCCACCAAGGCGAUGAUGCGUAGCCGACCUGAGAGGGUGACCGGCCACACUGGGACUGAGACACGGCCCAGACUCCUACGGGAGGCAGCAGUAGGGAAUUUUCGGCAAUGGGGGAAACCCUGACCGAGCAACGCCGCGUGAGUGAUGAAGGCCUUCGGGUUGUAAAGCUCUGUUGUAAGGGAAGAACGGCGAUGAUAGGGAAUGAUCAUCGAGUGACGGUACCUUACCAGAAAGCCACGGCUAACUACGUGCCAGCAGCCGCGGUAAUACGUAGGUGGCAAGCGUUAUCCGGAAUUAUUGGGCGUAAAGGGUGCGUAGGCGGCCAUUUAAGUCUAAGGUGAAAGUUCGAGGCUCAACUUCGAAUUGCCUUAGAAACUGGGUGGCUAGAGUGCAGGAGAGGGCAAUGGAAUUCCAUGUGUAGCGGUAAAAUGCGUAGAUAUAUGGAGGAACACCAGUGGCGAAGGCGGUUGCCUGGCCUGUAACUGACGCUGAAGCACGAAAGCGUGGGGAGCAAAUAGGAUUAGAUACCCUAGUAGUCCACGCCGUAAACGAUGAUUACUAAGUGUUGGGGAAACUCAGUGCUGCAGUUAACGCAAUAAGUAAUCCGCCUGGGGAGUAUGCACGCAAGUGUGA